AGGAAACUAAAUCAUUUUUCCACCUUAGUACGGGAGACGGAAAAGGUAAUUUUAAGCAAUAGAGAAAGUACCGCAAGGGAAAGCUGAAAGAGUAAUGAAAUAAUUCAUAUAAGCACAAAAAAGCAGAGCCUAACCCUCGUACCUUUUGCAUCAUGAUUUAGCCAGCACCACACAAGCGAAGUGACCUUUAGUUUGAAAUCCCGAAACCAAGUGAGCUACCCCGGGACAGCCUGUUUGGGCGAACCCGUCUCUGUGGCAAAAGAGUGGGAAGAGCCCCGGGUAGAGGUGAUAAACCUACCGAACUUGGUGAUAGCUGGUUGCCUAAGAAAUGAAUAGAAGUUCAGCCUCGUACCCCUUUAGCCAACCAGGAAAUAUCUAAGUAAGCAUAGAAGAGAAAUACGAGAGUUAGUUAAAGGGGGUACAGCCCCUUUAAUAAAGGACACAACCUUAAAUAGGAGGAUAAGAGUCACAUUUUAUAAAACUAGUCGUUCCAGUGGGCCUAAAAGCAGCCACCUGAAUAGAAAGCGUUAAAGCUCAAACGACAUGCAGUUUAUUAUACUGAUAAGUAGCCCAAUUCCCCUAAAAAUAUUAGGCCGUUCCAUGCUACCAUGGAAGAGACCAUGCUAGAAUGAGUAAUAAGAGGGUACAACCCUCUCCUAGCACAAGUGUAAGCCAGAUCGGACAAGCCACUGGAAAUUAACGAACCCAUAAAAAGAGGGCAAUGUGUUUACUAAAGAAUUCAAGAAAAUAACACAACAUUUACAUCGUUAAACCCACACUGGAGUGCAUCAAGGAAAGACUAAAAGAAAGGGAAGGAACUCGGCAAACACAAGCCUCGCCUGUUUACCAAAAACAUCGCCUCCUGCAAACCCCUACGUAUAGGAGGUCCAGCCUGCCCGGUGACUACAAGUUUAACGGCCGCGGUAUUUUGACCGUGCAAAGGUAGCGCAAUCACUUGUCUUUUAAAUGAAGACCUGUAUGAAUGGCUAAACGAGGGCUUAACUGUCUCCCUUUUCAGG
This 1019-nucleotide ribosomal RNA is filed under the name Triplophysa stolickai (Tibetan stone loach). Its description in RNAcentral is "partial large subunit ribosomal RNA". It matches the Rfam family "Bacterial large subunit ribosomal RNA", at positions 214 to 2032 of the family's 2925-position model. Lineage: Eukaryota; Metazoa; Chordata; Actinopteri; Cypriniformes; Nemacheilidae. The record is from RNAcentral.